UCCUCGAAUAGAAAAUAUAUGGGGAGUCGGACCUGCCCGGUGACUAGAGUGUUAAACGGCCGCGGUACCCUAACUGUGCAAAGGUAGCAUAAUCAUUUGCCUUUUAAUUGGAGGCUGGUAUGAAUGGUUUGACGAGAGCCAAGCUGUCUCUUUUGAAAUAUUUAGAAAUUAACUUUUAGGUGAAGAGUCCUAAAUUAAGCUGAGGGACAAGAAGACCCUGUUGAGCUUUAGUGAAAUUAGCAAAAUUGUUGGGGAGUAAAAAUAGUAAACUAAGAAGUUGAUUAUUUUGGUUCAGUUGUGUAUUCAGUUAUAGUUUUGUUUUGCUGUAAAUCUUUAGUUGGGGCGACUGAGGAAUAAUAAAAGCUUCCUUUAUUUAAAUAGAAAAUAUUGUAGUCUAAGAAUAGUAGAUGUUGGCGGAUUAAAUUUGAUCCAGUAUGUAUUGAUUAAAGGAAAAAGUUACCACAGGGAUAACAGCGUAAUCUUUCUGGAGAGAUCAUAUCGAAAGGAGGGUUUGCGACCUCGAUGUUGGACUAAGAUACCCGAAGGGUGUAGAAGCUCUUGAUGGUUGGUCUGUUCGACCAUUAAAAUCUUACGUGAU
RNAcentral lists this ribosomal RNA (598 nucleotides) under Trochus maculatus. RNAcentral describes it as "partial 16S ribosomal RNA". It matches the Rfam family "Bacterial large subunit ribosomal RNA", at positions 1820 to 2604 of the family's 2925-position model. The record is from RNAcentral. Lineage: Eukaryota; Metazoa; Mollusca; Gastropoda; Trochida; Trochidae.